Molecule: long non-coding RNA, 5691 nt
Filed under: Triticum aestivum (bread wheat)
Lineage: Eukaryota; Viridiplantae; Streptophyta; Magnoliopsida; Poales; Poaceae
Description: long non-coding RNA (TAES_LNC016471)
Source: RNAcentral
UUGCCUUUCUUGCACCCAAGCCGCUUCUCCUCUUCUCUGAAACUGCUUCUGCCUCUUCUCUCGAUCUCUGCUGCUUCUUCUCCGGGACCUCAAGCUGCUGCUCCAUUCCCAAACUGCUGCUCCUCUCUCCCUAGCGCCACCAUACUGCUGCUCCUUCUCCUUCGCCUGCUGCUACUCCCUUGCCCCACGCCUCUGCUCCUUCUCUGAACCAACUGCUGGCUCCUAUUACCUCUCCCCGAAACUGAUGUUGCUCCUAUUUCUUGCUGCACCUUCUCCCCAGCGCCCUCUUGCUACUCCUAACUUGCUGAAGUUCUACUCCGAACGACUUCAUCUUGUGUGUUCGUGUGUGUGAGAUUGUGUGCAUUUGUACUUCAUAAGUAUUGAUAGUGUGUGAUGAAGAGAUAUGUUAAUUCCAGGGACAUGUAGUUGUUCUUAUAAUUUUGUUGAUCAGUGAGAAUUGGUACUGAUGCUUAUGACCUUCUAUUUCUAUGUAUGAGAUCUAGCCAAGCCUGUCAUUUGUAUAUUGCACUUGCUGAAUAGUGUUCAGUUUUCAGUCCCUGUUUUAGCUCUAGUACCCGUGAUGUAUAUGUUCGUGAUAUAUGUUUCAUGUGGUUUCGUAUUGCUGUUAUGUUGAUCAUUUUAGUGCUAGUAUUGUGUCUUUUGUAAUCCAAACCAUAUAUGAUUUGUGUGUGUGACUAAUUGACAGCUAGUAGCUUUUAAUUAUUCAUAUUGUUUCUUGUGGAUUUUCUAGCGAUGUUACUCUCUGUAGAAGUGAGACGUAUGAACAUUUAAUUUCCAGUCUCCGUGUUAAUGAUGUUAGUGUGAAUAUAUAUAUAUAUAUAUAUAUAUAUAUAUAUAUAUAUAUGUGUGUGUGUGUGUGUGUGUGUGUGUGUGUGUGUGUGUGUGUGUGUGUUUUUGUUGUGAUAUAUUUCUGUCCCUGUCGUACUAGCGUGUUCCCACCUUGUCUCAUACUUGCUAGUUAGAUAUAUACAUAUAUGUGGUCUUGUCUUGUUAAUUCCCCUUAUUGAGGAUGUUCGUCUGUAGUUUCAAUUUUCUCAAGUGAUAUGAAAACACCAAAAAAGGAGCGAGUUUCAAUCUUAAUCUCCUCGUGUCGUUUGUCAUUUUAUUUGUCAUCAUUCUAGAUUUGUAUUUUCUUCUUUCAUCAUCUAAAUUCUGUCACCUAGCUUUAGCCGAGCAUUGUUGCCGUCGCUUAGUCCCUGUGGAGAACACGACAUCCGUAGUUUGGGCGUAAAAACCCUGCUAUAUUACAAUUGAUCAUUUUGGCGCUGUUGCCGGGGACUAGCGUCGAGCGAUUAUGUUAGCUAUAGACUAGGUCUAUUUUAGUUUCGUGUUUAAUUCAUCGUGUAUUUCUUUUUCUGUGUUUCUUUUAUAAUUUUUUUCCUUGUUGUUGCUUCGGCUUAUUAGGAUACUAACAUUCUGACUAGUAUUUACUAUUUAUGAGUGUGCGUAGGAAAUCUGAUCUAUUUGCAGGUUGAUUGAUAGUUACACUUGGUGGAGAUAUGGUGAUGCUUCGUGAUGUUUGGAUGCCAAGCAGCCAAUGCUAUUUCACAGGGCCACUUUGGCCGUCUUUUGAGGCAGAAAAUUUUGAGCUAAAGCCUGGUCUUAUUGCUUUGGUUCAACAACAACAGUUUGCAGGUCUGCUCACUGAGGAUCCCUAUGAGCACUUAUACCGAGUCAUGUUGUAUUCAGGUACAGUCAAGUACCAUGGAGUUCCUCAAGAUGCUAUCAAGUGCAUGUUGUUCUCAUUCUCUCUCCGGGAUGAUGCUCGUGCUUGGUAUCGAUCCUUGCCAUCAAGAUCAUUCAGUUGGAACGAGAUAUCACAAGCUUUCUUGGAUAAAUAUUUCCCACUACACAAGCAGUCCGCAAUUCGAGAUGAGAUCCUCAGCUUCGUUCAGCGUGAAGGCGAGAGCUUGUAUGAUGCUUGGGAGAGAUACAGGGCUUUAUUCAGGAGAUGUCCUAACCACGGGCUUGAGAGAUGGUUAGAGCUGCAGAUAUUCUAUAGAGGAUUGACUUCGAACACUCGAGCUUAUGUCGAUAUGGCAGCGGGUGGAGCUAUUACAAACAAGACACUUGAUGAAGCUUUUCUGCUGAUUGAGAGCAUAGCUUUCCACCAACUUCAGUGGUACAAUAAGAAGCCCACGUCUGAUUCAUUGGUUUGCUUGCAACAAAUCACUACACCUCAGCCACCAAUUCUUACACAGAACCCUGAACCUCUAUCUCAGUGUGACAAGAUUGAGCUUGCAUGGAUUAUCUUUGACGAUGAUGACACCAUUCUAGUUGACACACACGCUACAGAUCAUAUGGAUACUAGUGUUGGAGAUUCGGUUUUGGAUUGUGAUGAUUCUUCCAUGGAUGAGCCAGAGCUGCAGUUAGUUGUUUUUGAUAUUGAGGAGUCACCUUUAGUUGAUAUUGAUCAUGUGCUGCUAGAGCCAGAUAUGGAGAAGUUCACCUUUGAUGAUGUUAGCCGCAUUGCUUCCUCAACACUUGAGCUUGAGAUGGAGAGCUUCAUGGUUGAGUAUGGUGAGGUGGAUUCAGAUGUCAAGGAGCCAAGCUCUACUAUUUCACUUGUUGACACGAGUCCGGUUGAAAUUUCUACUACCACACCUCACUUGGUAUCUUCAAUUGAGGUAGUCCUGAAGCUUCUUCCUAACUAUCUCAGGUAUGAUCUUAGCUUUCUGGACAAGACAUGUCAUAUCGCUGAUAUUGCCUAUGCCCCAUGUGACUUGUUGUUGAUACAUGUUCCUGAUUUUAUCAAUAGAUAUACGUAUAUGAUAGGGUACUAUAUCGAUGACUUAGAGGGCAUUCUCUUUGUCACUUGUAUUGGCUUGGUUGUUGAGUGUGCUUUCAGGUUUUUGCUUGUGCACGAUCCAUUACAUGUUGACCAGGUUCGAGGUGACAUUCCUUGGGACCCUGGUGGACUUAGAGCAUGGGGAUGAGGAGAAGCAAGGGGGCACACACGAGGAAGGGAGAAGCUGGAGCAGGCAUGAGGAUAGAGAAGCAAAAGGAGAGGAGCUGCAGUUGGUGAGGUGAUCAAGCAAGUGCUACUUCCUAUGAAAACCUGGUGAGCUGUUUCAUGACCCAUUCCUAGUAUAUCAUCCAUUGAUACAUGCUGAAAUCAAAUGUUAUUUGGGUUGCUUAAGCCAUGUCUUAAAUGUUGCCCCACUGAAUUUUACUUGACAUAUGGUGCUUGAUGAGAAUAUGUGAACUGAGUGUUGAAUGCCUGGUAAACUAGUGAUCUAUACAAUGCUUGCUUUGCUGAAAGUAGUGGAAGUUAUUAGUUUUGAGUGCUCAAAUCCCUAGUAUACUAGAAAACUUAAUCAUUUUCUGCUUUUACCUCGAUACACCUAGAUCACCACGUUUAGAUGUUGAAUUUGUGCUAAGUGUGUUCCCAUUGAGAGCAAACACCUAACCACUAUGGAUUAGCAUGCUAUGUUCCCUGGAUCGGUAGCUUGUGAACCAGACAUGGAGAAGUGAUGAUUCCUAUUUUUGUGCUUAUGUGUUGUUCAUUUAAGAUAAGUAAUAAUGAAUAAAUAAGUUUGACUACCUACAGUAGCAUGUCAUGUUCCCGGGAUCGGUGGCAUGUGAAAUCGGGUUAGCUUGGGCAGUAAUUAAUAAUAAAAAAUGUAAUUGUCGAACCAGGUGUAUACCAUGUUCUCGGGAUCGGUGGUAUGUUCCUUUGGGGAGACGAACAAAAAAAACUAAUAAUUGGUCGAGCCAGGUGUAUACCAUGUUCUCGGGAUCGGUGGUAUGUUCCUAUGGUGAGACUAAUAAUAAUAUAAUCAUUGCUUUAUCUCUGUAAAUAAGUGAUUUGAUCACAAGAUUUAAUUCCAGUUCAUUUUGUUCUUGGGAUCAUGCUCUCUUUAGGAACCAUUUGGCGCAGUCAUCAUUUAAACUUGUUGAUCCUCUUUUAUCUCUGUAAAAGUUUAAAAUGGUCAUGCUUACUAGUAUCCUACUACUUUGUAGCACGCCUAACCAUUAAUUUUCACUAGCUAAGUCCGAAGCAUGCCUUGUUUGGAGAUCUAUUUUACCAGGACAUUCCUUACUCAGUUUACUGUUCAUUAUCUUGCCUUUGUCAUAUUCCUUUGCUUGAGCACAAGCAAAGAUUUAAGUGUGGGGGAACUUGAUAAGUGCAUUUCAUAUAUAUAAUUUGGCACUCAAAUUUAGCAUCUAUCGUGAUAUAUCCAUCCAUUCUUGCUAUGAGUUGUGAUAUAUUUGAAUGAAAAUCAUAUAAAAGAUCAUUUACUUGUCAUUUGUUUCUUUUGCGGAAAAGUGCGCAAGGCACUAUAAUCGUCAAGAUUUCUACUAUUUGGCUAACGAGAAGAGAGAAGGGCUUGUGUGUGAUGACAAGAAGUAACCAAAGGGGCUAACUAUAGAAGAGAGGGGAUCUACUUGGGAAGGAAGAAGAUAGUAGGAGGGCCCAUGUGCAAACAUCAAAAUCUGCCGUGAGGGGAUCAAAAUCCCUAGGUCACUACACAAUUCCCCUUAGGCCUGGCAUCUCAUCUCUCUCCCCCGAUCCCUUUCUUCUCCACCUCCGGCCGCCGCCGCGGCCAGGCCGGCAUGGCGUCGCGCCACCGCGCCAUCACCAGCACCACCGCGCCACCCAGCACACCCGCCAGCGCCAUCAGCUCCUCCCCACGCCUCCACUAGCUCCACCGCACCAAAUCCAUCCACCAUCUCCACCAUCUCCAGCCAUCGCUGCACCUCGCACGCCCGACCAGACAAGAGGGUCAUGGGCGUCUGGUCUUCCGCGUGAGCGCCCCCGUGCUGCUGAUCUUCUUCUCCUUUCCCCCUGCCGCGUCUUCCCUUCACGUUGAUGUUGCUGCCUUUCUUGCGCCCAAGCUGCUUCUCCUCUUCUCUGAAACUACUGCUGCCUCUUCUCUCGAUCUCUGCUGCUUCUUCUCCGGGACCUCAAGCUGCUGCUCCAUUCCCAAACUGCUGCUCCUCUCUCCCUAGAGCCACCAUACUGUUGCUCCUUCUCCAUCGCCUGCUGCUACUCCCUUGCCCCACGCCUCUGCUCCUUCUCUGAACCAACUGCUGGCUUCUAUUACCUUUCCUCAAAACUGCUGUUGCUCCUAUUUCUUGCCGCACCUUCUCCCCAGCGCCCUCUUGCUGCUCCUAACUUGCUGAAGUUCUACUCUGAACCACUUUAUCUUGUGUGUUCGUGUGUGUGAGAUUGUGUGUGUUUGUACUUCAUAAGUAUUGAUAGUGUGUGAUGAAGAGAUAUGUUAAUUCCAGGGACAUGUAGUUGUUCUUAUAAUUUUGUUGAUCAAUGAGAAUUGGUACUGAUGCUUAUGAACUUCUAUUUCUAUGUAUGAGAUCUAGCCAAACCUGUCAUUUGUAUAUUGCACUUGCAGAAUAGUGUUCAGUUUUCAGUCCCUGUUUUAGCUCUAGUACCCGUGAUGUAUAUGUUCGUGAUAUAUGUUUCAUGUGGUUUCGUAUUGCUGUUAUGUUGAUCAUUUUAGUGCUAGUACUGUGUCUUUUGUAAUCCAAACCAUAUAUGAUUUGUAUGUGUGACUAAUUGACAGCUAGUAGCUUUUAAUUAUUCAUAUUGUUUCUUGUGAAUUUUCUAGCGAUGUUACUCUUUGUAGAAGUGAGACGUAUGAACAUUUAAUUUCCAAUCUCCGUGUUAACGAUGUUAGUGUGAAUAUAUAUAUAUAUAUAUAUAUAUAU